GUGGGAUGCCGUGGGAGGAGCGGGUGUAACUCCUGGGACCCGCACACUAGUGCUUCAGCGCCGCCACUCGUCCUGUGGAGCCACCAAAGCAGCUAAUUUCUCUGGAAUGCCGGCGAGGUGAUGUUCCUCGCGACCUCUAACCUCUCCCGGGACUGCACGCCCGGUGCGUUCCACGCAUGCUCAGUCUUUCUGGGCCGUCCCGGGAGCUGGCUCCCCGGACGACUGUUGAGAGAACUGUCUCGAGUUCCGGUGCCCAGACAAGUGCAGGAGAGGCAGCUCCUCUGAGGGAAGGAGAGCCGGAGCUUGAAGACCCUCCCUGUCGUGAGGAGCGGGGCCGUCCAGCUGCCCCCCUCUUUUCCCAUGUCGGUCCCGCGCGAAAGCCCCCGAAAAAGCGCCAAGUGCCAUGGGGCUGGACCCUCACCCCUCCCCGCCGCGGUGGCCUGUGUCCAGGUGUCCCAGGCGCGGCGUAACUAGGCUGCUGUUCAAAAGGUCACCCCGAGGACACUCACGCAUGCCCAGUUGGAGGGUCCAUGGUCCUAGCCGGUCUUAACCAGCUCAGCUCGAAGUAAACACAGCUGACUCCAAGUUUCUGGAAGAGAACUCUGACAAACAUCUUAUUGUUUAGGCUACACGGAGCUUGGAGGCCAUGCAAGUCUUAAAACGACCUGGAUUAGCGAAGGCAGAUGAGGAAACUAAAGCUCAGAGGGGUUGUGACCAGCCUUAGGUCACCUACCUGUGAAGUGAAG
Molecule: non-coding RNA, 746 nt
Organism: Kogia breviceps (pygmy sperm whale)
Lineage: Eukaryota; Metazoa; Chordata; Mammalia; Artiodactyla; Physeteridae
Source: RefSeq, a predicted model, not a curated record